ACAACUUUCAGUUGAGAACAGAGAGAUCCAGUAUCACCUAACCUGUUCAUGUGAAACACAACGAACGUAUUCAUCAACUAAAGGGAGUGUAGUUCUGUAAAUAAUAGAAGUUGCCCAACACGAGGCCUACUAGUUCGGCAAAUACCAAAUCAUCUGGAGAGAGAAAGAUGCUGUAACCGGUAUGAUGACAUUUCUACGUUUCUGUGCAGUGACACGAAGCAGCUCCUCCAUACAGCUCCUCUCAUUCCCUCCUGUUGAAGCUGUGAUCGAAGAGAAGACUCUCUGAAGCGAGUGAAGAAGUCGCUGACAUUUUUCCAGACAUGCAAAAAUAUUUCGAUUCUAGCGAGCCUCCAUCUAGCCACCAGUGAGAGGAGAGCAGUAUCUGUAAGGGAUCCAGGAAGUCCAAGACGGACAGAGAGAAAGAGAGAUACGCAAGCUAUUCUUUCCAGCCCCUCUUUGGAAGACAAAAGGAAGCUUGUAAAGAAGAAAAAAAAAAAAAAAAGAAGAAAAAAAGCUUCUUUAUUGUUAAAAACCAGCAGCGCGUUUUAGGCCUUUCAGCAGAAAGAGAAUAGCAGAAAUAAUAUGAUCAUGUCCUGUAAAAUGUUCCUUUCACAAUACUUAAAAGGAAAUAGGCCUAGCAUAUGGCAAUGUUUAGUGAUAUAGGGUUUUAUAGGCCUAGGGACAUGACAAAAUGUGUGUGUAAUGAACAGUCUCCUGAACCAUGCUGAUGUAGGUGCAGAGAGAUGACAAGACCUUCUGAUCACUGGAGGAAGAGGAACUAAAGCAAGUUAGCUUUCUCUUCAACACAUGCACCCCCCCCCCUGCCCCAGACCCACAAACAGCACAGCUGAAACAUCUUCUCUCAUCAACAGUUCUCUAUAGACCAGCGGUAGACAGAGUACAGCCUUUUGUUUUUGUCACAUCAUCAGGGCCAUGCUGACUUCAGUUGAAACAGGAAGAGCACUCUCCAUCCUCUUCCUUUUCCUACAUCAGCAGGAAAGAAGUAGAGUGGGACCCUAAAAACACUUUGAAUGCCCCAGAACAGCUCGGGCUAAUAUGCCUUCUCUACGACAAAACAAAACAACAACAAAAUCCAGCGAAUAGUUUUGAAAGUCAUGACCUGUAGGUUUUUUUUUUUUUAACAUUGAUGUUCCGAUGCGCUCAUUGGGAGCCAAGUGGGUUCCGGAACGCAGUGGUAGAAAUGCGGUUGCACAGAUUCCGUACGGUAGCGGUCUCGAUGAGGAGUGGUGGGGCCUAUAUAGAACGCAGGAAGGACGCCAGGUAGGGAAGGAUCAUGAUGCUGUGUAGAACGGAGCCAUCAGCCAGCCAGUCCCACUGAGCCGCCAUACACUCCAGGGGGUUUGUAUGGAAAUCAGCCUGACCUCUCUGUGCCUCCUACUCUCCUCUCUGUUUUAUACCACUCUGCAUUACCAAGAAUUUGAGCUGUAUGGUUUGUGUCACUUUGCAAUCAUUGUUUUUUUGCUUGACACAUUUUAAAGUCACAACUUCUGUUGCCGUGGAAUUGCCCUUUAGUUUCUGACAUUGACGUUGCAUCCAUUGACAUUGCUCCCACCACCCCUCCCCCUUCUUGAUAAAGCAAAAGCCAGAAAGCAAUUUUAUGAUACACACACAGGUCAGGUAGACAGUAUUAACGAUUUGGCAGUGUGUAGAAAGUGCUGAUGUUGCCUUUGGAGGCCAGGGAAAGGCCUAACGUCGAUGAGAGCAUAACACUAUUGCCAAUAACCAAGAUGAAGGAGAGAAGGAGGAGGAGGUGGAAGGAGAGGAGGGUCAUUCCUGUUGACUGCAGGUCAAGUCCUGGAGGACGAGUGUGGUGGUCACUGGAUAACAAGAAUGUGUGUGUGUGUGUGUGUGUGUGUGUGUGUGUGUGUGUGUGUGUGUGUGUGUGUGUGUGUGUGUGUGUGUGUGUGUGUGUGUGUGUGUGGCAGCCAGUGCCUCACUAAUGAAACAGUAUCACUUUAGCUGCGUGAUUGAGUGAGUGAUUGAUUGAGUAAGUGAGAUUUUGACCAAGUGUCUAAUUCACAACACUGAGUGACCUACACACACACAAUAUUAACAGAUCCAGACAAAGGGCAGUGGUUGGCUCGGUGCUCCAGACUCCAUUCAGGACCUGUAAGAGCUUAAUAAGAGGGAGAGAGAGGGCGAGGGAGAGAGAGGGUGAGGGAGAGAGCAGGAGGGAGAGAGAGGACGAGGGAGAGAGAGGACGAGGGAGAGAGAGGACGAGGGAGAGAGAAAGAGGGCGAUGAAGAGGGAGAGAGAGUGUGAGGGAGGGAGGGAGGGAGGGAGAGAGAGAGAGGACGAGAGAGAGGGCAAGGGAGAGUGCGAGGGAGAGAGAGAUGAAGGAGAGAGAGGGAGAGGGAGAGAGAGAGGAUGAGGGAGAGAGAGAGAGGGCGAUGAAGAGGGAGAAAGAGUGUGAGGGAGGGAGAGAGAGGACGAGGGAGAAAGAGAUGAAGAAGGAGAGCGAGGGAGAGGGAGAGAGAGAGGACGAGGGAGAGAGAGAGGGCGAUGAAGAGGGAGAGAGAGUGCGAGGGAGAGAGAUGAAGAAGGAGAGCGAGGGAGAGGGAGAGAGAGAGAGAGGGUGAGGAAGAGAGAAGAUGGUCCAACACAAACCUAAUUAAACACACGGAUGCUGACAGUAAUGGCUGCAGUGUUAUUUGUGCCUUCUUGCUCCACAAGGACAUUUCAGACAGGAAACACACAAGCGCUCCCACACACACACACACACACACACACACACACACACACACACACACACACACACACACACACACACACACACACACACACACACAGGCCGAGAGAGAGACAGGAAGCAACAACACAGAAAGAAUGUGAUUAGUCUGACGAGUCCACAAAAGGGCUGGGAAUUGCCAGGGACUUCAUAAUACGAUGUUAUCACGAUACUUAGGUGCCAAUAGGAUUCCCACGAUUCUAUAUUAUUAUUAUUGUUAUUUUACUGCUACUCUUUAAUUACUUGUUACUUUCAUUUCUUAUUCUUAUCUGUAUUUAUUUAUUUUACUGCAUUGUUGGUUAGGGGCUCGUAAGUAAGCAUUUCACUGUAAGGUCUACUACACCUGUUGUGACUAAUACGCAUGUGACUAAUUUGAUUUGAUUUGAUAUAUGUAUUGAGAUUCAAUACUGUGAUUUUAUUGUGAUUCGAUGUUCCAAAGAUAUUGUUCACCAUAUUUCCUGCCGCAGAGGGACAAGUCAUGAGAAACUGAGUUCUGAUCAGUCAUGGAAAUAAAAGUGCUGAAAACGAA
This is a long non-coding RNA of Oncorhynchus masou masou (cherry salmon), 3278 nucleotides long. RefSeq lists it as uncharacterized. NCBI's taxonomy places the organism in Eukaryota, Metazoa, Chordata, Actinopteri, Salmoniformes, Salmonidae. The transcript has 2 exons. The record is from RefSeq and is a predicted model, not a curated record.